This 152-nucleotide small RNA is filed under the name Chelonoidis abingdonii (Abingdon island giant tortoise). RNAcentral's name for it is "TUC338 (ENSCABG00000022471.1)". Lineage: Eukaryota; Metazoa; Chordata; Testudines; Testudinidae. The record is from RNAcentral.
UUGAGAGCCCUGGAUACUGAACUUCUCUAUUUAUUCACAGAACUGGUAAGACAUAGACAGCAGCAGAGCAAGUUAUACACUGUCCCACCAAUGUGAGAAGGUAACUCGCUCUACACAUCUAUUUAGUCCUUGGCCUUUCUUCCUAGACAACC